UACGUAGGGUGCAAGCGUUGUCCGGAAUUAUUGGGCGUAAAGAGCUCGUAGGCGGUCUGUCGCGUCGGCUGUGAAAACUCGGGGCUCAACCCCGAGCCUGCAGUCGAUACGGGCAGACUAGAGUGCGGUAGGGGAGACUGGAAUUCCUGGUGUAGCGGUGAAAUGCGCAGAUAUCAGGAGGAACACCGGUGGCGAAGGCGGUUCUCUGGGCAUUACCUGACGCUGAGGAGCGAAAGUGUGGGGAGCGAACAGG
RNAcentral lists this ribosomal RNA (253 nucleotides) under uncultured bacterium. Its description in RNAcentral is "partial 16S ribosomal RNA". It matches the Rfam family "Bacterial small subunit ribosomal RNA", at positions 524 to 776 of the family's 1533-position model. The record is from RNAcentral.